Long non-coding RNA from Sorghum bicolor (sorghum), 3247 nucleotides. RefSeq lists it as uncharacterized. The transcript is spliced from 4 exons. Lineage: Eukaryota; Viridiplantae; Streptophyta; Magnoliopsida; Poales; Poaceae. The record is from RefSeq and is a predicted model, not a curated record.
UCUAAGUAGCGUCUCCAUACGCCCUGGCAGCAGAAGGUUUUUAUCAAAUCAAUUAGGCUACAAUAUCAGAUACUUUACUGCAAAGGGGUGGACAACCGCGCUGCAGACGCUUUAUCUCGUGUGCCAGUGCUGCAGUGUUCUGCUGUAUCUGUAGCACAGCUGCAGUGGUUGCAUGAGGUGGCUGUGUCCUAUGAAUCCGAUAACUAGGUGCAACAAAUGAUUACUAAAUUGGUGGUUGAUCCUACCGCAGUGCCCCAUUUUUCAUUUUGGGAUGGUCUAUUGUGCUGCAACCAGCCUGUAUGGAUUGGUUGCAACCUUGAGGUACAGACUCGAGUCGUUGUUGCAAUUCAUGUUAGCACCAUCGGUGGGUACUCUGGUAUUCUAGUCACUUAUCGCCGUGUCAAGCAGUUGUUCGCUUGGAAGGGUCUCAAAUCAGCUGUGCAGGAGUUUGUCCGCUCUUGUUUCAUUUGUCAGCAGGCAAACCCCGACCGCUAUCGCUGACCGGGUCUCCUACAGCCUCUAUCAGUUCCUGACCAUGCCUGUUAUUGACGCUAAUUAACUCCAAUUUUCAACCAUCAACUAUUCACAGAAGAGACCUAAAAUGACUUAUAAAGUAAGGUUAUAGGGGUUUAUUCUAAUAAGUUCCAUGAGUUGUGUUGUUCUCACUUGUCUUGUAGGAUAUUCAAUAUUUCACCAUAUAAAAGUAUCUCAAGUGAACAAUCUAAGUACACCAUUGUAGAGAGCUCAUCGAGACGAUCGAGAUAGACAUAUCAUUUUCCAUACUUGGAGCACCAGAGAGGAAGUCCUUGAUGGAUACGACUCGAAAGACUCUAAAAGAUCCUAUAACCAUCAUCCAUUACAAGACCCACUGACAAGAUUCCACAGCUCUGUGAAAUAAUAUUUUUUAGGGAUUUAUCUAGAAGCAGGGAAAGGAAAGAAUCCAUCCAUGACACGACUCGUUGCGCAAACAGAUCGAAAAGAGGCACUAAAAGGAUGUAGAAGAUACCGAAAGACUCAGGAAUGAAGCAGAAGACCGACGGUGGCCAGGUGGGGCUGGCCGGCCCCACAUGCUAGGACGGCCAGCCUAGGCCCACCUAGAAGCCACCUCUCCUUCGUGUGACGGCCUCCAACCGACCUCUACGACGUAUAUUGACCCCUGUUCUAUGUCAGUUUGAUCCAAGGGCUACGGUUCAUCCCACCGUUCUAUAUAAGCGGAGGCAGACCUCCCCUAAAGCAGCAAUCGAUCAAUCAAUCCAUCAUAGUUCAAUUUAGAGCUCCAUCAACUAGGGCAUAGCUAGAAACACAAGAAUAUGAAUUAGAGGAGUCAAGCAACGCAUGGAUUUCAGAUGGAGUCACGAGGAGGCUAGCAACUAGCUGAUGGAGGGAAAGCCAAACAGAAGCAUGAAAAACAAGCCCAUGGGCGUCAUUAUAUAGCGCCACCGAGGGUCAAAACGAUGCAGCCGCAUGACAAAUGACGGAGGAGCUUGUUGGCUUCCCCGCAUACAAUGAUGGCGAGGGCCCUUCAGCUACUUCUGUGUCGACUUCGAGGGCCUGCAGCAUCAGAUUGAUGAGCUGGCCUUGCUCAUAGGUAAAACUGUUGAGAUUAUCCAUUGUCGUGAGAUCAAGCGAGUGGACAAAAGAAUGACUCAGCAUUAGUCAUCUCUGAAGACACAUUCAUGCCCCCAUGGGCUGAUUGUUGGCUUCUGCCUGCGAUGUGUCUAGGUAUAUAAAAGGGAUAAUGAAUCAACUUGGCCUUGUUGUUUGUGAAGAUGUUGUUGGACUGUUGGUAACAUACUUGGCUGCUGGUGAGUUGGCCUUUGACAGUCCUCAAAUUCUCUGCUUUUGGUUUGUUCCUUGGAUUUAGGAAUCAUGCAAUGAUUCUACAGUAAUAGUAUAUAAGAUCUAGCUGAAGUGUCUCUUGUUAAAUUUGCUUCAUAAACUUACAAGUCAACUCGAAUGGUUGGUGCUUGUGGCUUGAUUUCUAACCAUUUGACUUAUGUUUAAGCUUUCUUUCUUACUGGUCUUGCUACACUAUUAAUUUUUUAGGAAUCUUUGCCUCUGAUGGUUUAGAUCACAAGAUAAGGCUGGUGAGAUUAAACAUUCAGUUUUAUUUUUUGGCAAUAGCCUUCUUCGUUCGUCGUUCCAGUUGUCAUGUCCUAACUAUGUGUUUUUUUGCCAUGAAUCUUAAUCUAUCUUCCUCCAUACCUAUAAAGAAAGUCGUUUAGGACAACGACAUGGUUUCCAAAACCUAACUUUGACUCUUUAUUUUUGUGAAAAUAUUUAUCAAAAAGUGAUAUAUGUAUAUUUUAUGAAAGUAUUUUUCAAGACAAAUAUAUUCACAUGGUUUUCACAUUUCUAAACUCAACAACUUAAAAGUUAUUCAUGAAAAGUGCAAAUUAUUAAAAAUUAAGCAUUAUAUAAGUUGCCAAUUAUAGACAUUUAUUGAAAAACAAGGGUAGCAGUACAAAAGAAGACAAGUUGUAACCUCAGGGUAAAUUAUUAGAACCAAAGGCAAGUUAUUAUAUAACUCACAAAGUUUUAGCAAAUUGUAUAAUAAUAAUUUUUGGGGCAUGUGUGCUUUGUGGAAGUCGGAGGGAUUUUUUUUGCUGUAAUGGUGGUGGCGGCAACGAUCUGCGUGGAUGACAAGGCUGCUUGCGCCACCGUGGAAUGUGUGAGGAUCGAGAAGCUGGAUCCUGUUGCCUAGGGUUGAUGGCCAUGUCGGCGGCGGCGAUCUGUGUGGAUGGGAGACCGCCUGCACCAUCGUGGAAUGCGCAAGGAUUGAUAGGAUCCCGCUGCCUAGGGAUGACAUGCAUGGUGGCGAUCCUCUGCCUCCUCCAUCUUCUGUUAGGGCUAGAGCUGUGCCUGUGGUCCUGUGCACUUACCCUCCUCUCCUCCUCAUGGGCAGAUGGGAUUGCUUAUUAUCGGCGCGAGCUUCCAUGCCAGAAGGUUGUGACCUACCGACAAGGUGCUUUCGAAGAGGGGAAUACAGGUGAGGCGUUGAUUAUGCUACAAAAGUGGUUUUGAGUUUGGUGCUCUCUAGAUCAUUUUGGUUCUUGCCACUUGCCGGACAUUGAGGGAUAAGGCUCCGUUAGUUCCAGAUGACUUGUUAUUAGAUGGUUGAGCCGAGACAAUUUUAUUAUGACUUGAUAUGUAUAGGUAUUUUUUAGAUUAUAUACAUGAUCAUAUACAAUUGUGUGAAUCUUGAACUAUGAAAAAAUUAUUUAGUUAUUUUCAUGUACAUUCUUGA